AUGAUCUGUGUUAUAUCCUUGAGAUCUAUUCAUAGAACAUAUCUUAUUGUUAAUGACGUCGGUGACGUUCAUGACGUUGUCGUCACGGUGAUUUAGAAUAUAUAUAUAUAUAUACAGAGUCCAAGAGAGUGAGCAUUAAAGUAUUGAAAUAGAGAGCAGUCUUAGUGAGUGAGUCUUUUACAUUGGCGACGAGAGAAAAAAUUGCAUGACUGAUGCAGCUGUUAUUGCGCGCAUAAUACGGAAUUGAGAUAUGGCGAACGGCAAUAGAAGGCUUGAUUUGCAACCGUUUCGGAUGGACUGCAGCGACCACAUAGCAACGGGCCAGGCAUGGUGUGAAUGGCUUGAGGACUUUGAAAGGCAAGACAGAUACUUCAAAAUCACUGAAGAUGAUGUUAAAACGGACGCUUUACUUAUCUACGGCGGACCAGAGGUAAAAAGGCUAAGAAGACGUUUAAAGGAUCCGGAGUCCAUUUGUUAUUAUUAGUUUUAACAAUCACGAGUCAGUGAGAAGCAGAGAGGCAAACAGACUGGUGUACAAGCCAAAACCACAUUUGGGCUUAAAAAGAUCCACUCUACACUGAUUUAGUAACUGUGUUUCAUUCUGAUUAUUUUAUUAUGAACGCUUAUGAUUGUUUAAUCAUUGAAUACGAAAUCUUUGAAAUAAACUGUGUUAAUUUAU
Long non-coding RNA from Dreissena polymorpha, 679 nucleotides. RefSeq lists it as uncharacterized. The transcript has 3 exons. The record is from RefSeq and is a predicted model, not a curated record. NCBI's taxonomy places the organism in Eukaryota, Metazoa, Mollusca, Bivalvia, Myida, Dreissenidae.